RNAcentral lists this ribosomal RNA (467 nucleotides) under uncultured bacterium. Its description in RNAcentral is "partial 16S ribosomal RNA". It matches the Rfam family "Bacterial small subunit ribosomal RNA", at positions 28 to 523 of the family's 1533-position model. The record is from RNAcentral.
GAUGAACGCUGGCGGCGUGCCUAACACAUGCAAGUCGAGCGGCAGCGCGAGUAGUUUACUACUUGGCGGCGAGCGGCGGACGGCUGAGUAACGCGUGGGAACGUGCCCCAAAGUGGGGGAUAACUGCCCGAAAGGGUGGCUAAUACCGCAUAUGAUCUUCGGAUUAAAGGAUUUAUCCGCUUUGGGAGCGGCCCGCGUACGAUUAGAUAGUUGGUGAGGUAACGGCUCACCAAGUCGACGAUCGUUAGCUGGUCUGAGAGGAUGACCAGCCAGACUGGAACUGAGACACGGUCCAGACUCCUACGGGAGGCAGCAGUGAGGAAUCUUCCACAAUGGGGGCAACCCUGAUGGAGCAACGCCGCGUGCAGGAUGAAGGCCUUCGGGUUGUAAACUGCUUUUAUAAGUGAAGAAUAUGACGGUAACUUAUGAAUAAGGAUCGGCUAACUACGUGCCAGCAGCCGCAGUAA